Molecule: long non-coding RNA, 2300 nt
Filed under: Homo sapiens (human)
Lineage: Eukaryota; Metazoa; Chordata; Mammalia; Primates; Hominidae
Description: HSALNT0311874
Source: RNAcentral
ACACGGCAACUUGGAUUCUAUGUCUGCAGAAAUGAUCAUCUCCUUCGAGCUGCUCUCAUCCCUCUGUCUUUUCUCUCCAUUAACCUGAUUUCCUACCAGGCUUUUCUCAGUUAUGUGGGAGGAUGCAGAAUUUAAUCCUUAUUCAUUGUUCCUUGAGGAUUUACCACAUGACAGACACUGUUCUGAGCAUUCUGCAUGUAUUAAGCCCAUUUAACAUGAGGUAGGUAGGGAUUGUUAUCAUGCCUAUUUGUGUUUGAGGAAACUGAGGCCCAGCAAGGGCAGGGAGUCAAUCGUCUGUGCUCUAUAAACACAGCGAACAGCCCUGAAGGAGUCCCCCUACUCUUGAGAAGCCAAUGUUUCUAGAGUGGGGAGACAGAAAGUGAAGAAGAGAACAAAUGAGGUAAUUUCAGGAAUAAAUUAGAAGGACGUUUAUGAAGGAGACUGGCCCAAUCUCAUUCUAGGUCACACAGUAGCUACUAAGGGGGGGCACUGGGCCCAGAACCCAGGCUAUCUGACGCCAAGGGCAACCUAACAUUGCACCCCACAUCAUUCUUCUUAAAGGGGCUUAUCUGGCAUUUCCUAUAUGGAUUAUGAAUUAUUACAUAUAGGCAUUUCCUAUGUGGAUUAUGAAUUAUUACAUAUAGAACAAUGUAGCAAAGAAGAAGGUAUUAAAAAGUUUCUUUUAAAAAAUUCAGCAAAUAAUAACAACCAGAUGAAGGAAACUUCUCUAGGUCAUUUGCUUCAGAUCCACACUUCGGAUGAAAAUGGCUGAAAAGGAGGCAGAGAUGGCAGAAGACUAAAGGAAAGCGCCGAGCUGUGACUUGACGCCCAUUCCAAGGGCAGUGUGGCUCUUGUGAGACCAAAAGAAGAGUAGGAAUGAACGCGUGGGUCCUGUGAGCAGCGGGUGGCUUUGCUGAGCUUGGUGCUCUUAGAAGACCAGCCACUUUUGUCCCUGCAGCCCGGGGCCACAGAGCCAGACACCAGACCCACAGCAGCCCGGGAAGUAACGGUCGCUCUGUCUCGUCUGGGAAGAUCUCCGUUGCCAGGGCUUGCUGGACCCGCCCCCGCACAGCUUCCCAGCAGUCCCGAUUCCGCCUGAGGCUCCAGAAGGCGAAGCUGUACAGGAGGCCACUUUUCUUCUCAGCCUAGAACUCGAGAGACCUGAAAGGAAGGACGACUGGCCACAGGAGAUGUUUCACAGAGCCGCUGAAUGAACAACACAGUCAAUUCUGAUCAACUUUCCAGUGCUAUCUGGGGCUUCUUUCCUCAUCAGGGAAGUAAACAUUUUACCAGAAACUCCCUGGCAGCCUUUUCCUGAACUGUCCUAAGGGCUAUGGCUGAAGUGUAAGUGAGUGGCCCUGGAGGUGGGUGCCUCUCCCCGGCGCAGUUUUUCCUUCCAUCACAAGCAUGGCUGAAGCUGGGUGGUGGUGCAUACAGAUUCCAGCCAGCAAGGAGGGGAAAGAGAGUUCAGAGGACUCACCUCCACUGUCCCCGACCCAGGCCUGUAGCAUCUAUAUUGGCUCCUCUCAGGUUCCACAGAAUUCCUCAAGAUGACUGAGGUUGGUCCCUGAAGAAACCAAAUUCAGUGUAAGAAAACCAACAUCACAAAGAGGACUGUGCUACCUUUCUGCAUGUGAGUGCAGAGACUGACCUUCAGAACUCAGCUGAGAGUAUUAGAAGCCUGCCUGUGGAGGAAGGCCCACCCAGGCUGCAUGCGCUUCCCUCCCCCAGGGGCAGAAGCCUGAGCAGGCAGAGGUGGGGGAAGGACAGAGCCAUGGAAUGGCCAGAGCCGGACAGAGCCAGGAGAUGAAAAAUCAAGGUCCGGAAUUAUUAGGUGACUUGGGCAACUUGCCACAGUCCCAAAUGGUAAGUCCUAAAUGCCUCAAGACGGAAAUCCAGGCAGGCUGGCCCCUGAGGCUGAGGAUCCAGCUCCACACAGGACUGCCUGUCCAGAAGCGUGAGAUCUUUGCCUGUAGGCUGAGUGAGACUCCACCAGAUGAGUGGGCAGGCAUUCCAGGCAGGGGUGAUGACACAUGCAAAGGCAUAGAGAUGAUAAAACAUGCUACUUACGGGAGAAGACAAAAGUGCCAAGGAAGAGAGAUACGUGGUAAAGGGUGAAGAUGGACAGGCCAGAGAAGGAAAUCUCUGCUCUUCAGAUGUCUGUGACUUGCGGGGUGGAGAGACAAAGUCUGAGAAGAUCCUGCGUCCCUUCUUUUUCCCUGAGAGAGUUGUCCUGAGCAACCUACACGAGAGCUGGGUUUCAUGUACUAUAUGGUUUACAGUGGGUGAGGAUUCUCUUG